GACGAACGCUGGCGGCGUGCCUAAUACAUGCAAGUAGAACGCACAGUUUAUACCGUAGCUUGCUCCACCAUAGACUGUGAGUUGCGAACGGGUGAGUAACGCGUAGGUAACCUGCCUGGUAGCGGGGGAUAACUAUUGGAAACGAUAGCUAAUACCGCAUAAUAUUGAUUAUUGCAUGAUAAUUAAUUGAAAGGUGCAAUUGCACCACUACCAGAUGGACCUGCGUUGUAUUAGCUAGUAGGUGAGGUAACGGCUCACCUAGGCGACGAUACAUAGCCGACCUGAGAGGGUGAUCGGCCACACUGGGACUGAGACACGGCCCAGACUCCUACGGGAGGCAGCAGUAGGGAAUCUUCGGCAAUGGACGAAAGUCUGACCGAGCAACGCCGCGUGAGUGAAGAAGGUUUUCGGAUCGUAAAGCUCUGUUGUAAGAGAAGAACGGGUGUGAGAGUGGAAAGUUCACACUGUGACGGUAUCUUACCAGAAAGGGACGGCUAACUACGUG
This 505-nucleotide ribosomal RNA is filed under the name uncultured bacterium. RNAcentral's name for it is "partial 16S ribosomal RNA". It matches the Rfam family "Bacterial small subunit ribosomal RNA", at positions 28 to 507 of the family's 1533-position model. The record is from RNAcentral.